Xanthomonas oryzae pv. oryzae is the source of this 76-nucleotide small RNA. It matches the Rfam family "Xanthomonas sRNA sX9". The record is from Rfam. NCBI's taxonomy places the organism in Bacteria, Pseudomonadati, Pseudomonadota, Gammaproteobacteria, Lysobacterales, Lysobacteraceae.
GGGUCCCCCACGGACGCGCCGGUUCCUGCGCGCCAGCCAAACCUGCCUGCCGACUGCUCGCUACGUGUUGUUGGCC